CCCUUAGAGUUUGAUCCUGGCUCAGAAUCAACGCUGGCGGCGUGCCUAACACAUGCAAGUCGAGCGAGAAAAGGGGGGCAACCCCCUGAGUAAAGCGGCGCACGGGUGAGUAACACGUGGGUAAUCUGCCCUGGAGUGGGGAAUAACACCGGGAAACCGGUGCUAAUACCGCAUACGAUCACGAGGUCUGCGGACUUUGUGAUGAAAGGAGCAAUUCGCUCUAGGAGGAGCCCGCGGCUGAUUAGCUAGUUGGUGAGGUAAUGGCUCACCAAGGCUACGAUCAGUAUCCGGUCUGAGAGGACGGUCGGACACACUGGAACUGAGACACGGUCCAGACUCCUACGGGAGGCAGCAGUGGGGAAUUUUUGGCAAUGGGGGAAACCCUGACCAAGCAACGCCGCGUGGGUGAUGAAGUCUCUUGGGACGUAAAACCCUUUCGACGGGGAAGAAAACCGCAAGGUUUGACGGUACCCGUAGAAGAAGCCCCGGCUAACUCCGUGCCAGCAGCCGCGGUAAUACGGGGGGGGCAAGCGUUGUUCGGAAUUACUGGGCGUAAAGGGCGCGUAGGCGGUUCGUUAAGUUGGAUGUGAAAACUCUGGGCUCAACCCAGAGCCUGCAUCCAAAACUGGCGGGCUAGAGUUCUGGAGGGGGUAGCGGAAUUCCUGGUGUAGCGGUGAAAUGCGUAGAUAUCAGAGGAACACCGGUGGCGAAGGUGGCUACCUGGACAGAAACUGACGCUGAGGCGCGAAAGCUAGGGAGCAAACAGAUUAGAUACCCCGGUAGUCCUAGCCCUAAACGAUGAAUACUUGGUGUCUGGAGUUUAAUUCUCCGGGUGCGUCGCUAACGUUUAGUAUCCGCCUGGGGAGUACGUACGCAG
RNAcentral lists this ribosomal RNA (877 nucleotides) under uncultured bacterium. RNAcentral's name for it is "bacterial SSU rRNA". It matches the Rfam family "Bacterial small subunit ribosomal RNA", at positions 1 to 891 of the family's 1533-position model. The record is from RNAcentral.